CGGCCUGAGAGGGCGACCGGCCACACUGGGACUGAGACACGGCCCAGACUCCUACGGGAGGCAGCAGUGGGGAAUAUUGCACAAUGGGCGGAAGCCUGAUGCAGCGACGCCGCGUGAGGGAUGACGGCCUUCGGGUUGUAAACCUCUUUCAGCAGGGACGAAGCGUAAGUGACGGUACCUGCAGAAGAAGCGCCGGCCAACUACGUGCCAGCAGCCGCGGUAAGACGUAGGGCGCGAGCGUUGUCCGGAUUUAUUGGGCGUAAAGAGCUCGUAGGCGGCUUGUCGCGUCGACUGUGAAAACCCGCAGCUCAACUGCGGGCCUGCAGUCGAUACGGGCAGGCUAGAGUUCGGUAGGGGAGACUGGAAUUCCUGGUGUAGCGGUGAAAUGCGCAGAUAUCAGGAGGAACACCGGUGGCGAAGGCGGGUCUCUGGGCCGAUACUGACGCUGAGGAGCGAAAGCGUGGGGAGCGAACAGGAUUAGAUACCCUGGUAGUCCACGCUGUAAACGUUGGGCGCUAGGUGUGGGGGGCCUCUCCGGUUCCCUGUGCCGCAGCUAACGCAUUAAGCGC
This 569-nucleotide ribosomal RNA is filed under the name Micromonospora sediminicola. Its description in RNAcentral is "bacterial SSU rRNA". It matches the Rfam family "Bacterial small subunit ribosomal RNA", at positions 288 to 867 of the family's 1533-position model. Lineage: Bacteria; Bacillati; Actinomycetota; Actinomycetes; Micromonosporales; Micromonosporaceae. The record is from RNAcentral.